AGCGAACGCUGGUGGCAGGCCUAACACAUGCAAGUCGAACGAACCUUUCGGGGUUAGUGGCGGACGGGUGAGUAACACGUGGGAACGUGCCUUUAGGUUCGGAAUAACUCAGGGAAACUUGUGCUAAUACCGAAUGUGCCCUUCGGGGGAAAGAUUUAUCGCCUUUAGAGCGGCCCGCGUCUGAUUAGCUAGUUGGUUGAGGUAAUGGCUCACCAAGGCGACGAUCAGUAGCUGGUCUGAGAGGAUGAUCAGCCACAUUGGGACUGAGACACGGCCCAAACUCCUACGGGAGGCAGCAGUGGGGAAUCUUGCGCAAUGGGCGAAAGCCUGACGCAGCCAUGCCGCGUGAAUGAUGAAGGUCUUAGGAUUGUAAAAUUCUUUCACCGGGGACGAUAAUGACGGUACCCGGAGAAGAAGCCCCGGCUAACUUCGUG
Molecule: ribosomal RNA, 434 nt
Filed under: uncultured bacterium
Lineage: Bacteria
Description: partial 16S ribosomal RNA
Rfam family: Bacterial small subunit ribosomal RNA
Source: RNAcentral